UGCAGCAGCAACGCCGAGUGCGGGAAGACGGCCUUCGGGUUGUAAACCGCUUUAGCAGGGACGAAAUUGACGGUACCUGCAGAAGAAGCUCCGGCCAACUACGUGCCAGCAGCCGCGGUAAGACGUAGGGGGCGAGCGUUGUCCGGAAUUAUUGGGCGUAAAGGGCUCCUAGGCGGUUCAGUAAGUCGACUGUGAAAAUCCAAGGCUCAACCUUGGGACGCCAGUCGAUACUGCUGUGACUCGAGUUCGGUAGAGGAGUGUGGAAUUCCUGGUGUAGCGGUGAAAUGCGCAGAUAUCAGGAGGAACACCAACGGCGAAGGCAGCACUCUGGGCCGAUACUGACGCUGAAGAGCGAAAGCGUGGGGAGCAACAGGAUUAGAUACCCUGGUAGUCCACGCCGUAAACGUUGGGCACUAGGUGUGGGCCUUAUCAACGGGUUCCGUGCCGCAGCUAACGCAUUA
RNAcentral lists this ribosomal RNA (461 nucleotides) under uncultured bacterium. RNAcentral's name for it is "bacterial SSU rRNA". It matches the Rfam family "Bacterial small subunit ribosomal RNA", at positions 384 to 862 of the family's 1533-position model. The record is from RNAcentral.